This 394-nucleotide ribosomal RNA is filed under the name uncultured bacterium. RNAcentral describes it as "bacterial SSU rRNA". It matches the Rfam family "Bacterial small subunit ribosomal RNA", at positions 30 to 429 of the family's 1533-position model. The record is from RNAcentral.
AUUGAACGCUGGCGGAAUGCUUUACACAUGCAAGUCGAACGGCAGCACGGGGCAACCUGGUGGCGAGUGGCGAACGGGUGAGUAAUACAUCGGAACGUGCCCAAUCGUGGGGGAUAACGUAGCGAAAGUUACGCUAAUACCGCAUACGAUCUACGGAUGAAAGCGGGGGAUCGCAAGACCUCGCGCGAAUGGAGCGGCCGAUGUCAGAUUAGGUAGUUGGUGGGGUAAAGGCUCACCAAGCCGACGAUCUGUAGCUGGUCUGAGAGGACGACCAGCCACACUGGGACUGAGACACGGCCCAGACUCCUACGGGAGGCAGCAGUGGGGAAUUUUGGACAAUGGGCGCAAGCCUGAUCCAGCCAUUCCGCGUGCAGGAUGAAGGCCUGGUUGUAAC